UACGUAGGGUGCGAGCGUUGUCCGGAAUUACUGGGCGUAAAGAGCUCGUAGGUGGUUUGUCGCGUCGUCUGUGAAAUUCCGGGGCUUAACUUCGGGCGUGCAGGCGAUACGGGCAAUACUUGAGUGCUGUAGGGGAGACUGGAAUUCCUGGUGUAGCGGUGGAAUGCGCAGAUAUCAGGAGGAACACCGAUGGCGAAGGCAGGUCUCUGGGCAGUUACUGACGCUGAGGAGCGAAAGCAUGGGUAGCGAACAGGAUUAGA
Molecule: ribosomal RNA, 260 nt
Filed under: uncultured prokaryote
Description: partial 16S ribosomal RNA
Rfam family: Bacterial small subunit ribosomal RNA
Source: RNAcentral